CGCUCAGAGCCCCUUAUGAGGGUGAUGAGGUGCUUUUUGUAGAACGAGCCAACGAGUUACGGUAUGUAGCAAGGUUAAGUACUUAAGGUACGGAGCCGAAGGGAAACCGAGUCUGAAUAGGGCGACUAGUUGCAUGCCGUAGACCCGAAACCGGGUGACCUAUCCAUGGCCAGGUUGAAGCGAGGGUAAAACCUCGUGGAGGACCGAACCACGUUGCUGUUGAAAAAGCAUGGGAUGAGCUGUGGAUAGCGGAGAAAUUCCAAUCGAACCCGGAGAUAGCUGGUUCUCUCCGAAAUAGCUUUAGGGCUAGCGUCGAGUAUGAGUAGUGGAGGUAGAGCACUGAAUGGGCUAGGGGGCAUAGCGCUUACCGAACCUUAUCAAACUCCGAAUGCCACAUACUUUGAGCUCGGCAGUCAGACUACGAAUGAUAAGAUCCGUGGUCAAAAGGGAAACAGCCCAGAUCGUCAGCUAAGGUCCCAAAGUGUAAGUUAAGUGGGAAAGGAUGUGAGAUUUCUAAGACAACUAGGAUGUUGGCUUAGAAGCAGCCAUUCAUUAAAAGAGUGCGUAAUAGCUCACUAGUCGAGAGAUCUUGCGCCGAAAAUGUAACGGGGCUAAACUUACC
This 622-nucleotide ribosomal RNA is filed under the name Clostridium perfringens. Its description in RNAcentral is "partial 23S ribosomal RNA". It matches the Rfam family "Bacterial large subunit ribosomal RNA", at positions 571 to 1192 of the family's 2925-position model. The record is from RNAcentral. Lineage: Bacteria; Bacillati; Bacillota; Clostridia; Eubacteriales; Clostridiaceae.